AGGCCCAAAGCGCUGUACAGUCACAGCCCCUUCACCCAUAAACACACACCGAUGGCACCGGCCUGGAGCCACCAGAACCAAUGAGGGGUUCAGUGUCCAGUCCAAGGACACCUCAAUGCCUGACCGUGCAGAGUGGGAACCAAACCUGCAAUCUUCUGACCAGAGGUUGGCCACUCUACUAGAGCUGGGUGAUAUAGCCAAUAUAUAAAAUCCCCUAACACAUAGCUUCUGUAUUAAAUAAUUUUUUUUUUUUUUUUGCCCCUUCUUUUCCAACCAAACCAGUGGUCAGGCCUGCAGUUAUUCAAAACAGACUUGCAGAUUGUAUAGAUAAAUAGAACAACUUUGAUUGCAUUUGAAUCUAACUUCAUUUAUAAACUUUAUUUAUAGAAAAAGAAUACACUAUGUAACCAGUACCAUCAAGGCAAGCUGAAACACCUGGCCAUGCUUUUAUUGUGGAGGGUCCCAAACACUAUUUAAGCUCCAAGUUGAUGGAUGCACUUCCUGCUUCCUGCUGCUUACUUCCUGCUUCCUGCCACAUGCUGCCUGCUGUCAGCUGUUACUACUACUGCUGUUGCUGCUGUGGUUAGCAUUUGACCAGAACCUGCAAACCUGAUAACUGGCAAACCUGCCAGUUCAAAUCUCCUUAGAUACCCAUUGAUCACCUCACCGGUCAGGUUUUUUUGUUGUGUGUAUUCUUCUGAUGUCCCAAAUCGAUGGCGAGCUACCCAACCUGAACCAAGCUGGACUAUAAACAUCUCAUAAAUCUGCAAUAGAGCCCAACGGAUUAUCACCACACUCAUUACAGUGAAAUUCUCAAGAUUCAUGAACUUGGACACUUCAAAUCUACCUUCAUUCCCCCACAACCUUCCUCCUCAGCCUUCGGUCCCUGUUUUGUGUUUUUGUAUUUGUAUUUUUUAUUAUUUAUUUCUUUUCUUCAAUACAAUCGAUUGAAAUCUUUA
Long non-coding RNA from Oryzias melastigma (Indian medaka), 959 nucleotides. RefSeq lists it as uncharacterized. The transcript has 2 exons. The record is from RefSeq and is a predicted model, not a curated record. NCBI's taxonomy places the organism in Eukaryota, Metazoa, Chordata, Actinopteri, Beloniformes, Adrianichthyidae.